AAGAUUCUAGUAAAAUACAUUACAUUGCCUUGUCAGGGCAAAAUCGUGAGUUCAAAUCUUGCGUAUCUUAACUU
This 74-nucleotide transfer RNA is filed under the name Squalus blainville (longnose spurdog). RNAcentral's name for it is "tRNA-Asp". It matches the Rfam family "tRNA". Rfam says of the family: Transfer RNA (tRNA) molecules are approximately 80 nucleotides in length. Lineage: Eukaryota; Metazoa; Chordata; Chondrichthyes; Squaliformes; Squalidae. The record is from RNAcentral.